AUUGAACGCUGGCGGAAUGCUUUACACAUGCAAGUCGAGCGGCAGCGCGGGGGCAACCCUGGCGGCGAGCGGCGAACGGGUGAGUAACAUAUCGGAACGUACUCUGUCGUGGGGGAUAACUAUCCGAAAGGAUAGCUAAUACCGCAUACGACCUGAGGGUGAAAGCGGGGGAUCGCAAGACCUCGCGCGAUAGGAGCGGCCGAUAUCGGAUUAGCUAGUUGGUGGGGUAAAGGCUCACCAAGGCGACGAUUCGUAGCUGGUCUGAGAGGACGACCAGCCACACUGGAACUGAGACACGGUCCAGACUCCUACGGGAGGCAGCAGUGGGGAAUUUUGGACAAUGGGGGCAACCCUGAUCCAGCCAUUCCGCGUGAGUGAAGAAGGCC
RNAcentral lists this ribosomal RNA (386 nucleotides) under uncultured bacterium. RNAcentral describes it as "bacterial SSU rRNA". It matches the Rfam family "Bacterial small subunit ribosomal RNA", at positions 29 to 416 of the family's 1533-position model. The record is from RNAcentral.